UACGUAGGGUGCAAGCGUUAAUCGGAAUUACUGGGCGUAAAGCGUGCGCAGGCGGUUAUAUAAGACAGUUGUGAAAUCCCCGGAGCAUCACGAUGGACUGCAUCUGUGACUGUAUAGCUAGAGUACGGUAGAGGGGGAUGGAAUUCCGCGUGUAGCAGUGAAAUGCGUAGAUAUGCGGAGGAACACCGAUGGCGAAGGCAAUCCCCUGGACCUGUACUGACGCUCAUGCACGAAAGCGUGGGGAGCAAACAGG
RNAcentral lists this ribosomal RNA (253 nucleotides) under uncultured bacterium. RNAcentral describes it as "partial 16S ribosomal RNA". It matches the Rfam family "Bacterial small subunit ribosomal RNA", at positions 524 to 776 of the family's 1533-position model. The record is from RNAcentral.